RNAcentral lists this unclassified non-coding RNA (212 nucleotides) under uncultured Trechispora. Its description in RNAcentral is "sequence contains ITS2". Lineage: Eukaryota; Fungi; Basidiomycota; Agaricomycetes; Polyporales; Polyporaceae. The record is from RNAcentral.
AGUCAUCAACACCUCCCGGUUUUGUGCGGGGAGGGGUUGGAGUUGGGGGCCUGCUGCCGUGAGGCGGCUCCCCUCGAAUGCAUCGGUGUUGGACUUGCGGGUCCGACUCGGCCGGGCGUUGUACCAUCCUCGCUCGAACGAGAAAGUUCCCAAACUGCCGUCCAUCCCAACGACUUUGCCCUCGCGGAGUGGCGGUCAAUGUACACUUUGAA